Molecule: long non-coding RNA, 3008 nt
Organism: Scophthalmus maximus (turbot)
Lineage: Eukaryota; Metazoa; Chordata; Actinopteri; Pleuronectiformes; Scophthalmidae
Exons: 2
Source: RefSeq, a predicted model, not a curated record
CUUUUAUUGUGAAAAAAAGUAAUUGCGGAAGUAGAGCGGAGUUUUAUUGUGAAAGAUCCAAUUGGCGUCAGCGGAAGUAGAGUGACGUGACCGCGGACGCUUGACUGACUGAAGUCACAGCGGGAACUAGUCCGUGAAAAAAACGUUGUGGCGCAAACAAAUACGUAGUUGAUGUUGUAAUUCUCCGACAGCCGUCAUCAGGAACGUGCCUGCACGUAUUCUCUGUGGCCAACCGGAGGUAUGUGGACCCGAGGUUUAUCACGCUGUCGUUUGCAUUAGCUUCACGUGUGUUAGCUCAUUAGCGCUCAUUAGCAUGGAAGUGAACGGACUCGUAGCCGCGUGGCUAACCCCAGCUAGCUGAAGGGCUCCUGUUGGCGCGUCGUGAUCGACGUGAAGCAGUUCGUGAGACUUUGUGCCAGAAGCUGUUGCAGCGAACGCGCCGAGCUUCUUCCGACUCGCGGGAGCGGGCCGCGCCGUCUCCGCCAUUUUGGAUCUUCGCGGGAGACACGACUGGUGACGUCAACAGCUGCCGAGGCCACGCCUCUCCGGACACCUGCUCCUUACACCUGAAUAAGAGGCUGGUUUGUCUCGUCGUGACUAAACGGAAAUGAAGACGGCCUGAACUGCUGCUUCCAUUUCCCAGUGGAGGGAAGGUUUCAUGACGACAGGCAGCGCAGACAAAUCCUCGCCUCCCCUCACAGCCGUGUCCCAAACGUCGGCCUGUCAAGAAUGAGAAAAGAGCUCAUCUUCCACUUUGAGACACGCGCUGCACUUCUGAUGUGGCACAAAGGAUUUUCAAUGUUUUGGCUUUGUCUCCGAUAAUCCUGGACUUUUUAAUCCUCGGGGAAACGAUAUCGGCCGUCGGUAAGAUUUUUAAAUAUCUGUAAAGGCACUUUUACGUGCCAUGACUGUUCACAGACGAGGUUCUAUCAGGAUCUCAAUUUAGUCUCACGCUGUAAACGUCUGUGUGUAAGAGGUGAGGACUGAUACUGAACGGCAGCUUCAAGACGGAGGGUUCUUCGCUCCGUCCACGUGGCCUCUGGUUCGUCGGCGCUGACGCAGUAAAGGCCCCCGUGACACCAGGCGGGAUCUUAUGCUCCCGAUGUGGAGGUUUUAUGAAUCAGAUUUGGAUGCUGCGGACUGUAACACAGCAUCCGUCGCUCUGAGAGACCAACAUCUCCUUCCACCUCAUCUGGAAACCGAAUUCAAGAAUAUCUGAAAAUCUGUCUUCAGUACAAUGAUGUAUGGAAUCUUGAUUUAAUACUGAGGUAAGUUUGGGUAAGAUUGAUUUUCACUUUUUCAUUUUUUUUUCAUCUUGACGCUGCCGAGCUUUGUUGAAUGAAUCAGGUCCUUUUGGCCCAUUCGCAGGAAUUUUAUCAUUGAUCUGCUGAAGAGAAAGAUAUUUUUCUCACAAGUUUACAUCUAUCAUCUGGAUGCAAACAGAAUCUUAAUCCUUGGGUCUAAAUCAGCAGGUCUGGGUUCUGUAUAAGCCGACGUUAUGUCUCACAGUAAGUUGUGUGUGCGUGCAGUUCUGCUGCCCCCAAGUGGACAAAAAUCUAUUUAUGUUUAUAAACUAAAUAAAACCAAAUAUAACUGAGAAAUUUGAGGUAAUUAUAGAAUAAAUGUAAUUAAAUGGCUUCUCUUUCUACUUUGUAAUAUCAGCAUACAUCACAGUUUAAUCUAAUUCACAGAAAUGUCAUAAACUUUAUGUAUUGCAUUGUUUUUGGAACUGACAGCAAGUAAACAGACGUUUUGGGUUGUAAUUCUUGCUGUGGCCACCAGGAGGCAAUGUCACCGUUUUGUCUGUGUGUAGGAACGAUCAGUCAAAAUAAUGUGUUUGUGUGAGGUGUUGUAUGGUUGUUUUUUUUUGACUGUAUCCACACUCACAUAAUGGGAACUUGUCUUCCUUAUGGGGAUAAACACAACAACAACAAUAAUGAUAAUAACCUGUUUAUAUAGCGUUUUUUAAAACUCGUACUUUAUAAAAACAUAACCAGUAAAUCACAACAAACAUUGAAAUCCAGUCUUAAAUAGUGGGAUUUUAAAAGUGACUUGAAAGAACAUAAAUCAUGACAUUAGAGCACAAAGACGGGAUCGAAGGUCAAAGAGUAACAACCUUUUCAUUUGAGUUCCAGCUCACGUCCUCUCCUCAGCCAAUCAGCUCCGUGAUCUGAUCUCUGCUGGUCACGUGUGAAGUUUCCUCGGGUCUCGUCUAUCUGCUCAUCUCCGUGUUCAGUUGUUCUGCACCAUAGACCGGAAGGCUUCUAUCACUUCUGGAGCCACAGGAUAUUGACCAAUAUUAAAAAUACAUAUUUCAAUAAUUAGACCUAAACCUGUUUAUAAUGUUGCAUCUAUUGUUGCAUCGAUUGUGUUACAGUCUCUUUGCACUGGUUUCCAGUUUAGUUAUUUUAGAAUGCAUUUAGUUUGCAUCAGAGAACUUUCGAAAAUAUGUAAGAUAUUUAGGAUCUAUAAGCAACGUUUAUCAAUUUCAAAGUAGCUCCACCUGCAAUCGUUUUCUCUGAUCAAUGGUCUCCGUAUCACGACAUUCAAAUCUUAAUCUGCAGGUAUUAGAUGCUCACAUCCUGUGGAUUUGAACGAUACACUGUCUGUAGUUAUUUGCAAACAGUCUGUCAGUUACAGUUUGAUAUAAAAUAUAAAAUCCAUGUGACUGUUUGUUACAGUUGAAACGAUCAAACGGUUCAUAAGAACAUCUCAAGCUACUUCAUCAACAGAACUCCAGCUGGACGCUCGACGUCCUCCUGAGGAAUCUUCUCUCACUUUAUUUCACUGUGAACUUCGUCGACUCGUCCACAGACUCACACACGAGAGUUCACAGGGAAGACAAAUUAAAAACACUGAGGAAAAGUCUCUGUUCUGUUAUUAAAAUAUGAUGUAAACAGUUUCAGCUCAGUUCUGUCUACAAUGAAUCAUUAUACUGUAUCACUGUGUUCAAAUGUAACGUGUCUCUGAUCAGGUGUUUAAUAAAAUGUCUAUGAGAUUAAAAUGUC